Molecule: long non-coding RNA, 299 nt
Organism: Saccostrea cuccullata (small rock oyster)
Lineage: Eukaryota; Metazoa; Mollusca; Bivalvia; Ostreida; Ostreidae
Exons: 3
Source: RefSeq, a predicted model, not a curated record
ACAAUAGUUUCCACGGUGACCUCAGUGACGGCAGAUAACGCGCUGCUGUUGGACUUCUUGUGGCUGAUAAUACUGGUCAGUUUAUGGACUGCGGAUUUUAAUUCUGGAUCCAGUUCAUCAGUGUUUCCUGACAAACGCUCAGAAGACUAAAACAAAAGAUAGAGGACUACCACAUGAAGGUUUCCAAAUUUCUCCAUUCUGUCAUCAUAAGAAAUGGAUGUUACUGCGGUAAGCAUUGAGAGUGCCUCCCUUCCCAGUGGUCAGAGCAGUGACAGUAAUAAUCUCCCUGGACAUUGAAA